RNAcentral lists this ribosomal RNA (1171 nucleotides) under bacterium endosymbiont of Donacia cincticornis. RNAcentral describes it as "bacterial SSU rRNA". It matches the Rfam family "Bacterial small subunit ribosomal RNA", at positions 349 to 1504 of the family's 1533-position model. The record is from RNAcentral.
CNGCAGUGGGGAAUAUUGCACAAUGGGCGAAAGCCUGAUGCAGCUAUGCCGCGUGUAUGAAGAAGGCCUUAGGGUUGUAAAGUACUUUCAACAAGAAAGAAACAAUGGAAUCUAAUACAUUUCAUUAUUGACGUUACUUGUAAAAGAAGCACCGGCUAACUCCGUGCCAGCAGCCGCGGUAAUACGGAGGGUGCUAGCGUUAAUCGGAAUUACUGGGCGUAAAGAGCACGUAGGCGGUUAAUUAAGUCAGAUGUGAAAUCCCUAAGCUUAACUUAGGAACUGCAUUUGAAACUGAUUAACUUGAGUUUCGUAGAGGGGGGUAGAAUUCUAGGUGUAGCGGUGAAAUGCGUAGAUAUCUGGAGGAAUACCAGUGGCGAAGGCGACUCCCUGGACGAAUACUGACGCUCAGGUGCGAAAGCAUGGGGAGCAAACAGGAUUAGAUACCCUGGUAGUCCAUGCUGUAAACGAUGUCGACUUGAAGGUUGUAAGCUUGACUUAUAGCUUUCGUAGCUAACGCGUUAAGUCGACCGCCUGGGAAGUACGACCGCAAGGUUAAAACUCAAAUGAAUUGACGGGGGCCCGCACAAGCGGUGGAGCAUGUGGUUUAAUUCGAUGCAACGCGAAGAACCUUACCUGGUCUUGACAUCCAUGGAAUUUAAUAGAGAUAUUUUAGUGCCUUCGGGAACCAUGAGACAGGUGCUGCAUGGCUGUCGUCAGCUCGUGUUGUGAAAUGUUGGGUUAAGUCCCGCAACGAGCGCAACCCUUAUUCUUUGUUGCCAUCAGUUAAAGCUGGGAACUCAAAGAAGACUGCCGGUGAUAAACCGGAGGAAGGUGAGGACGACGUCAAGUCAUCAUGGCCCUUACGGCCAGGGCUACACACGUGCUACAAUGGUAUAUACAAAGAGAAGCAUCCUUGUAAAAGUAAGCGGAUCUCACAAAAUAUAUCUUAGUUCGGAUUAGAGUCUGCAACUCGACUCUAUGAAGUCGGAAUCGCUAGUAAUCGUAGAUCAGAAUGCUACGGUGAAUACGUUCCCGGGCCUUGUACACACCGCCCGUCACACCAUGGGAGUGGGUUGUAAAAGAAGUAAGUUGUUUAACCUUUUGUAAAGAAGGAGGACGCUUACCACUUUAUGAUUCAUAACUGGGGUGAAGUCGUAACAAGGUAACCGUA